CCUACGGGGAGCAGCAGUGAGGAAUAUUGGUCAAUGGACGAGAGUCUGAACCAGCCAAGUAGCGUGAAGGAUGACUGCCCUAUGGGUUGUAAACUUCUUUUAUAUGGGAAUAAAACGUUCCACGUGUGGGAUUUUGUAUGUACCAUAUGAAUAAGGAUCGGCUAACUCCGUGCCAGCAGCCGCGGUAAUACGGAGGAUCCGAGCGUUAUCCGGAUUUAUUGGGUUUAAAGGGAGCGUAGGUGGAUUGUUAAGUCAGUUGUGAAAGUUUGCGGCUCAACCGUAAAAUUGCAGUUGAAACUGGCAGUCUUGAGUACAGUAGAGGUGAGCGGAAUUCGUGGUGUAGCGGUGAAAUGCUUAGAUAUCACGAAGAACUCCGAUUGCGAAGGCAGUUCACUGGACUGCAACUGACACUGAGGCUCGAAAGUGUGGGUAUCAAACAGGAUUAGAUACCCGUGUAGUC
RNAcentral lists this ribosomal RNA (460 nucleotides) under uncultured bacterium. RNAcentral describes it as "partial 16S ribosomal RNA". It matches the Rfam family "Bacterial small subunit ribosomal RNA", at positions 338 to 795 of the family's 1533-position model. The record is from RNAcentral.